CUACGGGCGGCUGCAGUCGAGAAUCUUCGGCAAUGGACGCAAGUCUGACCGAGCGACGCCGCGUGCGGGAUGAAGGCCUUCGGGUUGUAAACCGCUGUCAGAGGGGAGGAAAUCAUCGGGGGCUAUCCCCCGGUGUUGACCUAUCCUCAGAGGAGGGACGGGCUAAGUUCGUGCCAGCAGCCGCGGUAAGACGAACCGUCCAAACGUUAUUCGGAAUCACUGGGCUUAAAGGGUGUGUAGGCGGUCCGGCAAGUUGGGUGUGAAAUCCCUCGGCUCAACCGAGGAACUGCGCUCAAAACUGCCGGACUAGAGGGAGAUAGAGGCGAGCGGAACUUAGGGUGGAGCGGUGAAAUGCGUUGAUAUCCUAAGGAACACCAGUAGCGAAAGCGGCUCGCUGGGUCUCUUCUGACGCUGAGGCACGAAAGCUAGGGGAGCGAACGGGAUUAGAUACCCCUGUAGUC
This 461-nucleotide ribosomal RNA is filed under the name uncultured bacterium. RNAcentral describes it as "partial 16S ribosomal RNA". It matches the Rfam family "Bacterial small subunit ribosomal RNA", at positions 339 to 795 of the family's 1533-position model. The record is from RNAcentral.